UUUCCGUAGGUGAACCUGCGGAAGGAUCAUUGUCGAAGCCUGCCCAGCAGAACGACCCGCGAACUUGUAUAAACAACCGGGGGCAGGGGCGAUCUCGCCCCGUGCCCUCGAACGGCAGGGAGACACUCGUGCCUUCUUGUCGAACAACGAGCCCCGGCGCGGUCUGCGCCAAGGAACUUCAAUUAAAGAGUGCCUCCGGUCGCCUCGGAAACGAUGCGCAUGUCGGAGGCGAAUCUUGUACAAAACCAUAACGACUCUCGGCAACGGAUAUCUCGGCUCUC
RNAcentral lists this unclassified non-coding RNA (281 nucleotides) under plant metagenome. RNAcentral's name for it is "partial contains small subunit ribosomal RNA, internal transcribed spacer 1, and 5.8S ribosomal RNA". The record is from RNAcentral.